CUAGCUUGCUAGAGAUGAUUAGUGGCGGACGGGUGAGUAACAUUUAGGAAUCUACCUAGUAGUGGGGGAUAGCUCGGGGAAACUCGAAUUAAUACCGCAUACGACCUACGGGUGAAAGGGGGCGCAAGCUCUUGCUAUUAGAUGAGCCUAAAUCAGAUUAGCUAGUUGGUGGGGUAAAGGCCCACCAAGGCGACGAUCUGUAACUGGUCUGAGAGGAUGAUCAGUCACACCGGAACUGAGACACGGUCCGGACUCCUACGGGAGGCAGCAGUGGGGAAUAUUGGACAAUGGGGGCAACCCUGAUCCAGCCAUGCCGCGUGUGUGAAGAAGGCCUUUUGGUUGUAAAGCACUUUAAGCAGGGAGGAGAGGCUAAUGGUUAAUACCCAUUAGAUUAGACGUUACCUGCAGAAUAAGCACCGGCUAACUCUGUGCCAGCAGCCGCGGUAAUACAGAGGGUGCGAGCGUUAAUCGGAAUUACUGGGCGUAAAGCGAGUGUAGGUGGCUCAUUAAGUCACAUGUGAAAUCCCCGGGCUUAACCUGGGAACUGCAUGUGAUACUGGUGGUGCUAGAAUAUGUGAGAGGGAAGUAGAAUUCCAGGUGUAGCGGUGAAAUGCGUAGAGAUCUGGAGGAAUACCGAUGGCGAAGGCAGCUUCCUGGCAUAAUAUUGACACUGAGAUUCGAAAGCGUGGGUAGCAAACAGGAUUAGAUACCCUGGUAGUCCACGCCGUAAACGAUGUCUACUAGCCGUUGGGGUCCUUGAGACUUUAGUGGCGCAGUUAACGCGAUAAGUAGACCGCCUGGGGAGUACGGCCGCAAGGUUAAAACUCAAAUGAAUUGACGGGGGCCCGCACAAGCGGUGGAGCAUGUGGUUUAAUUCGAUGCAACGCGAAGAACCUUACCUGGUCUUGACAUAGUGAGAAUCUCUCAGAGAUGAGAGAGUGCCUUCGGGAACUCACAUACAGGUGCUGCAUGGCUGUCGUCAGCUCGUGUCGUGAGAUGUUGGGUUAAGUCCCGCAACGAGCGCAACCCUUUUCCUUAUUUGCCAGCGGGUUAAGCCGGGAACUUUAAGGAUACUGCCAGUGACAAACUGGAGGAAGGCGGGGACGACGUCAAGUCAUCAUGGCCCUUACGACCAGGGCUACACACGUGCUACAAUGGUAGGUACAGAGGGUUGCUACACAGCGAUGUGAUGCUAAUCUCAAAAAGCCUAUCGUAGUCCGGAUUGGAGUCUGCAACUCGACG
RNAcentral lists this ribosomal RNA (1242 nucleotides) under Faucicola osloensis. RNAcentral describes it as "bacterial SSU rRNA". It matches the Rfam family "Bacterial small subunit ribosomal RNA", at positions 75 to 1317 of the family's 1533-position model. Lineage: Bacteria; Pseudomonadati; Pseudomonadota; Gammaproteobacteria; Moraxellales; Moraxellaceae. The record is from RNAcentral.